This 372-nucleotide ribosomal RNA is filed under the name uncultured organism. RNAcentral's name for it is "partial 16S ribosomal RNA". It matches the Rfam family "Bacterial small subunit ribosomal RNA", at positions 527 to 896 of the family's 1533-position model. The record is from RNAcentral.
GUAUGGGGCAAGCGUUGUUCGGAUUCACUGGGCGUAAAGGGCGUGUAGGCGGUGUGGGUAAGUCGGAUGUGAAAUCUCCAGGGCUCAACCUGGAAACUGCAUUCGAAACUGCCAUGCUUGAGUACCGGAGAGGGAAACGGAAUUCCUGGUGUAGGGGUGAAAUCUGUAGAUAUCAGGAAGAACACCGGUGGCGAAGGCGGUUUCCUGGCCGGAUACUGACGCUGAGGCGCGAAAGCUAGGGGAGCAAACAGGAUUAGAUACCCUGGUAGUCCUAGCUGUAAACGUUGUGCACUAGGUGUAAGUGGUUUCAACCCACUUGUGCCGUAGCUAACGCAUUAAGUGCACCGCCUGGGGAGUAUGCUCGCAAGGGUG